CCCGACGACAAUAGUGCGGUUGUCCCACCUGAAUCCAUCCCGAACUCAGAAGUGAAAAGCCGUUACGUCGAUGGUAGUGUGGGGCUUCCCCAUGUGAGAGUAGAGCAUCGUCGGGU
Actinobacillus pleuropneumoniae is the source of this 116-nucleotide ribosomal RNA. Lineage: Bacteria; Pseudomonadati; Pseudomonadota; Gammaproteobacteria; Pasteurellales; Pasteurellaceae. The record is from Rfam.